RNAcentral lists this transfer RNA (64 nucleotides) under Sphaerisporangium rubeum. RNAcentral describes it as "tRNA-OTHER". The record is from RNAcentral. Lineage: Bacteria; Bacillati; Actinomycetota; Actinomycetes; Streptosporangiales; Streptosporangiaceae.
GGCUGCGCCCGGAGAAGCCCUGGAGCGGUGCCGGAGGACGCGGGUUCGAUUCCCGCCACCUCCA